GUCCUUAUGGGAGCGAUGUAAGGUCUGGCCUGCCCACUGAAGGAGUUUGAAGGGCCGCGGUAUACUAACCGUGCGAAGGUAGCAUAGUCAAUAGUCUCUUAAUUGGAGGCUUGAAUGAAUGGUCGGACAUAAGGAAAGCUGUCUCGGCUUUAAAGGGUGAAUUUAACUUUUGUGUGAAAAGGCAUUAAUGCGUUAGAGGGACGAUAAGACCCUAUAAAACUUGACGUCUAGUUUGGGUCCUACGAUCUGGGGAUAAAGAGGGGCUUGAUUGAGUUCGUUAUGCUGGGGCGGCAAGAAUAAAAUCCGUAACUGUUCUUUAGAUUAAAUAAUGAUUUUUAGAGUUUGAUCCUGAAUUUUAGGUUAAGAGAUUAAGUUACUUUAGGGAUAACAGCGUUAUUUCUCUUGAGAGUUCAUAUCGACAGAGAUAUUUGCGACCUCGAUGUUGAAUUAAAGUUCCCCUCGGGAGUAGGAGUUCGAGUGGUGGGUCUGUUCGACCUUUAAAACUUUACAUGAUUUGAGUUCGAAACCG
Molecule: ribosomal RNA, 529 nt
Filed under: Alpheus viridari
Lineage: Eukaryota; Metazoa; Arthropoda; Malacostraca; Decapoda; Alpheidae
Description: partial 16S ribosomal RNA
Rfam family: Bacterial large subunit ribosomal RNA
Source: RNAcentral